RNAcentral lists this ribosomal RNA (279 nucleotides) under uncultured bacterium. RNAcentral describes it as "partial 16S ribosomal RNA". It matches the Rfam family "Bacterial small subunit ribosomal RNA", at positions 506 to 784 of the family's 1533-position model. The record is from RNAcentral.
UGCCAGCCGCCGCGGUAAUACGAAGGUCCCAAGCGUUGUUCGGAAUCACUGGGCGUAAAGGGAGCGUAGGCGGUUUGGUAAGUCAGAUGUGAAAUCCCAGGGCUCAACCCUGGAACUGCAUCCGAUACUGCCGGACUUGAGUAAUGGAGGGGUAGCUGGAAUUUACGGUGUAGCAGUGAAAUGCGUGGAUAUCGUAAGGAACACUCGUGGCGAAAGCGAGCUACUGGACAUUUACUGACGCUGAGGCUCGAAGGCUAGGGUAGCGAAAGGGAUUAGAUA